UAUUCCCUCUCAGUCUUUGUUUUGCUAGGCUGAACAAGGAAAGCUGUUUUAGUUGUCUUUAAUAAUAUAGGCUUCCCAUUCCCUAGAUCAUCACCCUAGUCAUCAUUGUCCAUACCUGCUGCAGGACACAAUGGGAUCUAAUGAGUGGUUCCACAAUCAAGCCUCCUUCUGCUAUGCACAUGUGGCAUGGCAGAAGGCCCAAUUGUGUGGAUCAUGCAUUUGAUCCCAUUGCACCUUUAUCUGAACAUGUAGAGGGGCCCUGAAAUACAGAAGCUCUCUUUGUACUCUAUUUGAGGUAGGAGUAAGGAAUACAUAUUGUCUACUGCCUAAACAGGAGGUGUGAGAGCUGAAGAAAGUUGGUGUCGUCACUGCCAUUGCCAGUAAUGCCAUACUUCCUAAGGAUAUGUGGAAGAAAGUGCUGAAUCUAAACCAUCAUGCCAGGACUAGCUACUGUUACACUUUGUCAAGAUUGGGUGCAGAGUGUAGAAAGGCACAGGACCCACUUCUGGAUAAUAUCAGCAGCAAGCAUGCAUCUGAAGAUUGAGACACAUCUCUACUACCUGCGAGCAUCCUUUUCUUUACUUAUUCUUCUUCUAUUUUAUAAAACUGUUCUAAGGGGAGAUGGAGGGGUUAUAGCUAGUUCAGAACAAACCUCAGAGUUUGUUUUCAGUUAAGUUAAAAAUGUAAGGGCUGGAUCCUCAGCUGAUAUAAAUCAGAGCUGCUCCAUUGAUUUCAGGGUUCAAGGUUUUAAGGUAAGAGGCUUCAGGAUUUGUUUGUGUGGUCCUGGGCCAGAAAAACCUUGAGCACAUACUGUCUUAUAAUAUCAAAUUUUGUAUUAUAUAGAGAUGCCUUGUGGUGGACUGGCACUAGAACACUUAUCCAGCAAAACAGUGAUCAAAUAACACAACCGUGCUUUUAAGUGUUGCUUUCAGUGAGUCUUUUAAUUGAAUUCUGUUUUAACUAAGGAGACUGUUUAGGUGAAUAAAAGCUACAUUCAGAAAUGUUUGUAGAAUCA
Molecule: long non-coding RNA, 1015 nt
Filed under: Crocodylus porosus (Australian saltwater crocodile)
Lineage: Eukaryota; Metazoa; Chordata; Crocodylia; Crocodylidae
Description: lncRNA (ENSCPRG00005007486.1)
Source: RNAcentral